UGGGGCGUGGCCAAGUGGCAAGGCAACGGGUUUUGGUCCCGCUAUUCGGAGGUUCGAAUCCUUCCGUCCCAG
This 72-nucleotide transfer RNA is filed under the name Globularia cordifolia. Its description in RNAcentral is "tRNA-Gln". It matches the Rfam family "tRNA". Rfam says of the family: Transfer RNA (tRNA) molecules are approximately 80 nucleotides in length. Their secondary structure includes four short double-helical elements and three loops (D, anti-codon, and T loops). The record is from RNAcentral. Lineage: Eukaryota; Viridiplantae; Streptophyta; Magnoliopsida; Lamiales; Plantaginaceae. RNAcentral also lists the same sequence under 3 other names.